RNAcentral lists this unclassified non-coding RNA (327 nucleotides) under fungal sp. Its description in RNAcentral is "partial internal transcribed spacer region". The stretch from base 1 to 46 matches the Rfam family "Eukaryotic small subunit ribosomal RNA", at positions 1786 to 1831 of the family's 1831-position model. Lineage: Eukaryota; Fungi. The record is from RNAcentral.
AAGUCGUAACAAGGUAACCGUAGGUGAACCUGCGGUUGGAUCAUUAACAAUUAUUAUUGAAUUCUCCCCCCCCCCACACCCCUUCACCGGGAGGGGGGGCGGUAGGUUCUCUAACACUUGUGUGCACUGUUUAUUGUCUCUCGGCGUUCGAGGGUUGGGGGUUGUCCCCAAGGAGCUAGCUUCCUUGGCCUCCCCCUUGGGCUUUUUUUACAAGCCUUGACCUACCCCUGAGCGUCAACUUAAACUUGAUUUUAUUUAUACUAUAAGCCUUUAAUUUUAAAUUUAUAAUUUGAAAACAACUUUUAACAACGGAUCUCUAGGCUCUCA